GACGAACGCUGGCGGCGUGCUUAACACAUGCAAGUCGAACGGAAAGGCCCUUCGGGGUACUCGAGUGGCGAACGGGUGAGUAGCACGUGGGUGAUCUGCCCUGCACUUUGGGAUAAGCCUGGGAAACUGGGUCUAAUACCGAAUAGGACCACGCGCUUCAUGGUGUGUGGUGGAAAGCUUUUGCGGUGUGGGAUGGGCCCGCGGCCUAUCAGCUUGUUGGUGGGGUAAUGGCCUACCAAGGCGACGACGGGUAGCCGGCCUGAGAGGGUGACCGGCCACACUGGGACUGAGAUACGGCCCAGACUCCUACGGGAGGCAGCAGUGGGGAAUAUUGCACAAUGGGCGCAAGCCUGAUGCAGCGACGCCGCGUGAGGGAUGACGGCCUUCGGGUUGUAAACCUCUUUCAAUAGGGACGAAGCGCAAGUGACGGUACCUAUAGAAGAAGCACCGGCCAACUACGUG
RNAcentral lists this ribosomal RNA (462 nucleotides) under uncultured bacterium. RNAcentral describes it as "partial 16S ribosomal RNA". It matches the Rfam family "Bacterial small subunit ribosomal RNA", at positions 28 to 507 of the family's 1533-position model. The record is from RNAcentral.